UACGGAGGAUGCAAGCGUUAUCCGGAUUCAUUGGGUUUAAAGGGUGCGCAGGCGGGAGAUUAAGUCGGUGGUGAAAUUUUGCAGCUCAACUGUAAAAGUGCCAUUGAUACUGGUUUUCUUGAGUGUGGAUGAAGUAGGCGGAAUUUGUGGUGUAGCGGUGAAAUGCAUAGAUAUCACGAGGAACUCCGAUUGCGCAGGCAGCUUACUAAACCAUAACUGACGCUCAGGCACGAAGGCGUGGGGAUCAAACAGGAUUA
This 257-nucleotide ribosomal RNA is filed under the name uncultured prokaryote. Its description in RNAcentral is "partial 16S ribosomal RNA". It matches the Rfam family "Bacterial small subunit ribosomal RNA", at positions 524 to 780 of the family's 1533-position model. The record is from RNAcentral.